CUUCGGGUAAUGAGGAUGGCGGACGGGUGAGUAACGCGUAAGGAACUUGCCUCUUGGACUGGGACAACUGUUGGAAACGACAGCUAAUACCGGAUAUUAUGAGAUUCUCGCAUGAGAAACUUAUGAAAGCUAUAUGCGCCAAGAGAGAGCCUUGCGUUCCAUUAGCUAGUUGGUGGGGUAAUGGCCCACCAAGGUGACGAUGGAUAGCCGGCCUGAGAGGGUGAACGGCCACAAGGGGACUGAGACACGGCCCUUACUCCUACGGGAGGCAGCAGUGGGGAAUAUUGGACAAUGGGCCACAAGCCUGAUCCAGCAAUUCUGUGUGCACGAUGAAGGUCUUCGGAUUGUAAAGUGCUUUCAGUUGGGAAGAAGAAAGUGACGGUACCAACAGAAGAAGCGACGGCUAAAUACGUGCCAGCAGCCGCGGUAAUACGUAUGUCGCAAGCGUUAUCCGGAUUUAUUGGGCGUAAAGCGCGUCUAGGCGGAAAAAUAAGUCUGAUGUUAAAAUGCGGGGCUCAACUCCGUAUUGCGUUGGAAACUGUUUUUCUAGAGUACUGGAGAGGUGGGCGGAACUACAAGUGUAGAGGUGAAAUUCGUAGAUAUUUG
Molecule: ribosomal RNA, 606 nt
Filed under: uncultured bacterium
Lineage: Bacteria
Description: bacterial SSU rRNA
Rfam family: Bacterial small subunit ribosomal RNA
Source: RNAcentral